GGUCAAUGAUGUUGAAGGCAUGUAUUAACUGAAUCAAAAGUUGAUGCAAAUUCUUAAGUUACACUGAGACCUU
Molecule: small nucleolar RNA, 73 nt
Filed under: Sorex araneus (European shrew)
Lineage: Eukaryota; Metazoa; Chordata; Mammalia; Eulipotyphla; Soricidae
Source: RNAcentral